ACCCCCGUCAAGUGAGCCGUCAUCUGCAAAUGCAUGGUCAAGCCAGCCGCAGCCUAAACUGUGUUGCACGUCAUUUAGUAAAAUUACGGAUUUAUCUAUUAACAGGAUCUUCUUCAGGAUGACCCCACUCUGUUUGUUACUUAUCAAAAUAAAUUACAGCAGAUUAACAAAGAAACUGUACACAAAGACUGUCCACAAUAAAUGAACAUGCAUCAUU
Molecule: non-coding RNA, 217 nt
Organism: Paramisgurnus dabryanus
Lineage: Eukaryota; Metazoa; Chordata; Actinopteri; Cypriniformes; Cobitidae
Source: RefSeq, a predicted model, not a curated record